RNAcentral lists this long non-coding RNA (214 nucleotides) under Elaeis guineensis (African oil palm). Its description in RNAcentral is "long non-coding RNA (EGUI_LNC019593)". Lineage: Eukaryota; Viridiplantae; Streptophyta; Magnoliopsida; Arecales; Arecaceae. The record is from RNAcentral.
CGCCACCACCUCCCACCGGUCUUCGCGAUCAUCUUUCUCCCUAUCGUCACCGGCAUCGGCCUUCCCCUCCGACCUCCCUUAGAUGCUUUCCUUCCCAUCGAACUCCCUAGUCACAUUUUUUUUUGCCUCUAACCCUUCCGAAGCCCUCUCGAAUCUUUCCAAGCUCUCACAGAUGCCUGCCCCCUCCCUGCUCUCCUCACUGCCACCUCCCAUC